GCUCUUCAUGCUGCUGCAGAUUGACUCUUAACUGCUGCUGAUAAUUUCUUAAGUGCUAGUGGUUCACUGCAGCUAGUUUCCCGAGUCUUUGAUUGGAUCUUGGUUUUGCUGACCUAGAUGAACCAGCUCAAGGUGGCAUGUAAUAAACUCCAGUUUCCAGGGAUUCACCAUCUCAAAGAGGAGCUGCCUUCGUGUUAUUUCUGGAAUAUGGAAAUAUAGAAAACUAAUAAAGAUGAUUUUCUAAGGUUGAGAAGAGUUCUCUUUCUCCUGAAUGGGGCCUGAUCCCCAUUUUAAUUACCACAUGCCACAUAGAAAAAUGCCUCAAACUGCACAAAUGUGAGCCCCCUUUUGGUCUUGUACAGCACUUCUGCCUCCGGAAAUUACUAUUGCUCCUCCAUCCCCUGUUUUGUAGUGAUUAUAAGUUAAAGCUUUAUUAAUAUGAAUGGAAGGCUUGCCAGAAACAUUAUACUUGAAUUUAACCACCGUGCAACUGACGUCCAUAUGUAUUUCCUUUUAUGUGACCUUGAUAGAUGUGGCUGCCUUAAUAAGGCUAAGAUGAAUGAACCAAUAAUUUUAGACAAGACGGCUGACAUGCGAGACCCUUUGAUUUACAGUGCUGUGGUAAUAAAUACCAAUGGCAUGUUUAGUUUUUUAAAUUCCUAGAUGGGUCCCAAGCUAUUUUCUUGCUCAGGUUCCUGGCUCAUAUUCCACCAGGGUGUCAGCCAUUCAUUUUAAAAUAUGCAAGUAUUGCACAACCAGAUGGUAACUCCAUAAAAAAAUAAUUUAGGUUUUUUUUAACCCCCUCUUGACAUGCAGAUCAUAAUGCAUCAAAUAUCAAAAUAGGUGAUUAGAAUUACCAAGUGUCCGAAAAACAAACUAAUAAUGGAGCAGAGGAACCAUGGUGGAUAAAAGGGAAACCAAGACUUAGGCAAAAGAACUAUGUAUCAAGAGUGAACCCAGCACUCUUGAAUAAGUAAGAUGAAGAUUAAGUCUUGGGGGAGGGAGUUGACUUUGAAAUAAAUCAGGUAAAGACAUAAGCACACACAAAGUGUAUCUUGCAUUGUCUGGUUACUCAUUGUAUCUAGCAAUUUCAUUGUAUUGGUUUCCUUCCUGAAUUAUGGGAAGUUUCUCUCCCUUAAUAAGGGGCAGAAGAGCUUAACUUCCCCACAGCCAACUGCUGCUUUCUAGUGAAAAUUCUGAAUAAUAAAAGCAAAUUCCUGCCUCACUAUUCAAUCUCAAGAGGAAAUUUUUGUUUGCUCGGGGAUUCAGCCAACUGGCCAUUUUUCUUGAGGUAAAAGAGAUCCCUUUACCAAUCAGUUUGAUCUAAUUGGGAUUUCUAGAAGCUUGCAUUUCUGGAGAAAUGAUAGUCAAAACUGAGGAAAAUUUGUGCUGUCAGAAACUGGCAAUUUUGCCUUCAGAUUUCAGCUAGGUAAUCUGAUUAUGCUCUGAGCAUCAAAAUAGGAAUAGGAUAGGAAGUUUUGAAUAUGAGCCACGUCGCCUAAGCCUGACUAACAGUAUGUCAGGAAAAAAGGAUAAGGUGUUUUCCCCAAAUCCAUUUCCUUUCCUUCUGCUGUUCUCUCUAUAUCUAAUUAUAGGCUGUAUAUUUAGAACCUCUGAUGUUGCAUCCCAUAAAGCACCACACAUAUGAAUCAGUGGUGGGUUGCCCCCAGUUCACACCAGUUCUAUAGAACCGGUAGUAAAACUGGUGGGAGGCUCCGCCCACCGACCCCACCAUCAUCAAAAUGCUUCUGCGCAUGCGCAGAAGAGAGAGAGAGCACAUGAGCACAGCUGCCCCACUGCAAACCAGUAGUAAAUGUAAGUAGAACCCACUCCUGAU
Pantherophis guttatus is the source of this 1837-nucleotide non-coding RNA. The record is from RefSeq and is a predicted model, not a curated record. NCBI's taxonomy places the organism in Eukaryota, Metazoa, Chordata, Lepidosauria, Squamata, Colubridae.